GUCCAGGAGCGGGAAUCGAACCCACAACCUUCUGCUUACCGGGCAGGUUUUAUGUCCACUAGGCUAUCCUGGA
Cordylochernes scorpioides is the source of this 73-nucleotide non-coding RNA. Lineage: Eukaryota; Metazoa; Arthropoda; Arachnida; Pseudoscorpiones; Chernetidae. The record is from the annotation of a GenBank genome assembly.